This 659-nucleotide ribosomal RNA is filed under the name Enterobacter hormaechei. RNAcentral's name for it is "bacterial SSU rRNA". It matches the Rfam family "Bacterial small subunit ribosomal RNA", at positions 48 to 696 of the family's 1533-position model. The record is from RNAcentral. Lineage: Bacteria; Pseudomonadati; Pseudomonadota; Gammaproteobacteria; Enterobacterales; Enterobacteriaceae.
CUAACACAUGCAAGUCGAACGGUAACAGGAAGCAGCUUGCUGCUUCGCUGACGAGUGGCGGACGGGUGAGUAAUGUCUGGGAAACUGCCUGAUGGAGGGGGAUAACUACUGGAAACGGUAGCUAAUACCGCAUAACGUCGCAAGACCAAAGAGGGGGACCUUCGGGCCUCUUGCCAUCGGAUGUGCCCAGAUGGGAUUAGCUAGUAGGUGGGGUAACGGCUCACCUAGGCGACGAUCCCUAGCUGGUCUGAGAGGAUGACCAGCCACACUGGAACUGAGACACGGUCCAGACUCCUACGGGAGGCAGCAGUGGGGAAUAUUGCACAAUGGGCGCAAGCCUGAUGCAGCCAUGCCGCGUGUAUGAAGAAGGCCUUCGGGUUGUAAAGUACUUUCAGCGGGGAGGAAGGCGAUAAGGUUAAUAACCUUGUCGAUUGACGUUACCCGCAGAAGAAGCACCGGCUAACUCCGUGCCAGCAGCCGCGGUAAUACGGAGGGUGCAAGCGUUAAUCGGAAUUACUGGGCGUAAAGCGCACGCAGGCGGUCUGUCAAGUCGGAUGUGAAAUCCCCGGGCUCAACCUGGGAACUGCAUUCGAAACUGGCAGGCUAGAGUCUUGUAGAGGGGGGUAGAAUUCCAGGUGUAGCGGUGAAAUGCGUAGAGA